GACGAACGCUGGCGGCGUGCCUAAUACAUGCAAGUUGAGCGCUGAAGGUUGGUACUUGUACCAACUGGAUGAGCAGCGAACGGGUGAGUAACGCGUGGGGAAUCUGCCUUUGAGCGGGGGACAACAUUUGGAAACGAAUGCUAAUACCGCAUAAAAACUUUAAACACAAGUUUUAAGUUUGAAAGAUGCAAUUGCAUCACUCAAAGAUGAUCCCGCGUUGUAUUAGCUAGUUGGUGAGGUAAAGGCUCACCAAGGCGAUGAUACAUAGCCGACCUGAGAGGGUGAUCGGCCACAUUGGGACUGAGACGCGGCCCAAACUCCUACGGGAGGCAGCAGUAGGGAAUCUUCGGCAAUGGACGAAAGUCUGACCGAGCAACGCCGCGUGAGUGAAGAAGGUUUUCGGAUCGUAAAACUCUGUUGGUAGAGAAGAACGUUGGUGAGAGUGGAAAGCUCAUCAAGUGACGGUAACUACCCAGAAAGGGACGGCUAACUACGCG
RNAcentral lists this ribosomal RNA (497 nucleotides) under uncultured bacterium. RNAcentral describes it as "partial 16S ribosomal RNA". It matches the Rfam family "Bacterial small subunit ribosomal RNA", at positions 28 to 507 of the family's 1533-position model. The record is from RNAcentral.